UAGNNUUUUGAAUCAUGGCUCAGAUUGAACGCUGGCGGCAGGCCUAACACAUGCAAGUCGAACGGUAACAGGAAGCAGCUUGCUGCUUCGCUGACGAGUGGCGGACGGGUGAGUAAUGUCUGGGAAACUGCCUGAUGGAGGGGGAUAACUACUGGAAACGGUAGCUAAUACCGCAUAACGUCGCAAGACCAAAGAGGGGGACCUUCGGGCCUCUUGCCAUCGGAUGUGCCCAGAUGGGAUUAGCUAGUAGGUGGGGUAACGGCUCACCUAGGCGACGAUCCCUAGCUGGUCUGAGAGGAUGACCAGCCACACUGGAACUGAGACACGGUCCAGACUCCUACGGGAGGCAGCAGUGGGGAAUAUUGCACAAUGGGCGCAAGCCUGAUGCAGCCAUGCCGCGUGUAUGAAGAAGGCCUUCGGGUUGUAAAGUACUUUCAGCGGGGAGGAAGGCGAUAAGGUUAAUAACCUUGUCGAUUGACGUUACCCGCAGAAGAAGCACCGGCUAACUCCGUGCCAGCAGCCGCGGUAAUACGGAGGGUGCAAGCGUUAAUCGGAAUUACUGGGCGUAAAGCGCACGCAGGCGGUCUGUCAAGUCGGAUGUGAAAUCCCCGGGCUCAACCUGGGAACUGCAUUCGAAACUGGCAGGCUAGAGUCUUGUAGAGGGGGGUAGAAUUCCAGGUGUAGCGGUGAAAUGCGUAGAGAUCUGGAGGAAUACCGGUGGCGAAGGCGGCCCCCUGGACAAAGACUGACGCNNNGNGCG
RNAcentral lists this ribosomal RNA (760 nucleotides) under Lactiplantibacillus plantarum. Its description in RNAcentral is "bacterial SSU rRNA". It matches the Rfam family "Bacterial small subunit ribosomal RNA", at positions 1 to 755 of the family's 1533-position model. Lineage: Bacteria; Bacillati; Bacillota; Bacilli; Lactobacillales; Lactobacillaceae. The record is from RNAcentral.